ACCCAUCUCUGCAAUUAUUUCCUUCUCCCUCCCCUGUCUUUUCCCCCAGUAUAAACAUACUGGGGCUCUUCCUUGCCCUUUUUCAGUUCAAUUGAAAUCAGACAAUAGAAAGGGAGCUCUUGAGCUACGUGCUUCCUUCCUUUUCCUCAGUCGAUGUACCAGCAACUACUCCUCUUCACUCAAGGAACCGAUACCCUUCAACGAUCGGGAGCUUUCUCCUUCAUAGUUCUAUCGAUCGUUCCAGUGAUCGUUGAGGAGUUAGGACUUUGAUCGCCUUUGUUUGAUUCGUCAGAGAAGAAGACAAGACAGAGGGAUGUUUGGAGAAGAAGUGUUUGCAGAGAUGGACGGGAAAGGCAGGAAAGAGGAAGAGGGGAAAUAAGGUUGUAGGACACGCAUGUCUCCAACCGGAAAAUGUUUGGCCCAAAAAACGAGCCACGACAACGUUCCGUCAAUUUUUUACCGAAAAUGAAUGUCUUGAUGUGUACUACAAAAAAUCGAUAAUUUCGUGUUGUAUUAUGAAAAUAUUUCAAUUUUUGAUGUGUGGUGAAAAGAAUUAAAAGCCCAUUAUGUAUGGUGCAAUUUACCCUUUAUGAAAUGCCACAAUUGACAUCUA
This is a non-coding RNA of Punica granatum (pomegranate), 613 nucleotides long. NCBI's taxonomy places the organism in Eukaryota, Viridiplantae, Streptophyta, Magnoliopsida, Myrtales, Lythraceae. The record is from RefSeq and is a predicted model, not a curated record.